UGGGGAAUAUUGGACAAUGGGGGCAACCCUGAUCCAGCCAUGCCGCGUGUGUGAAGAAGGCCCUCGGGUUGUAAAGCACUUUAAGCUGGGAGGAAGGCUCGAUAGUUAAUACCUAUCGGGAUUGACGUUACCAGCAGAAUAAGCACCGGCAAACUUCGUGCCAGCAGCCGCGGUAAUACGAAGGGUGCGAGCGUUAAUCGGAAUUACUGGGCGUAAAGCGCGCGUAGGUGGUUUUGUAAGCGAAAUGUGA
This 250-nucleotide ribosomal RNA is filed under the name uncultured bacterium. RNAcentral's name for it is "partial 16S ribosomal RNA". It matches the Rfam family "Bacterial small subunit ribosomal RNA", at positions 355 to 597 of the family's 1533-position model. The record is from RNAcentral.